ACUCAUGGAACAUGUGGGCAUGCUUCCAUAGGUGACGGGGAUAUCAUGGACCGAUCACCCCAAGGAUGGCAGGCUCAGACUCCUUACUACAGCAAAGGUGUUUAUUCUAAGUCUCCAGUAUACACACACCAACUGACACUGUUGCCUCAUGAACCGCAAAGUUUGUCCGAAGCCUGGAGUCUUCUCCGAGCCCUCCAUCUGGCAGGUCAACCACAACUCCACACUGCUUGUCAAAUGAUGGUCAUUCUGUGGCCGAUCACUCUUCUAAGAAACCCCAGAGAACUCUGAAGAGUAUAGUCGAAAGCGCUAAAUAAAGGAUGGCUCCUGGGUUACCCAUUAGAGGCAAAGAGUGUGCUCACUAAAUUCUUUUUUGAUGGAGGGCAGACAAGUGGCUGAACACCGCAUCAUCUGAAAUACACAGCAGCCAGAGGCUGUGAAGGAGAAAUCCAAAGAAUCCAAAGACAAGACGUACGAGAGUGUCUCAGGCUCUGCCUGGUGACUGGGAUUAAUCUGUCACCAGUGAGCUUUCCCAGGUAUAAGCUACUGAUGUCCUUGAGCAACCUCCCUGGGUUUCAGCCAUCAACAGAGCCAAGCCAGACUGCCUUCUCAAUGAUUCGCUUUGCUCCCCCUGCAAAUAGAUAUAGUAAAACUGCAAUCUGCAGAAAAUAAUA
This is a long non-coding RNA of Mastomys coucha (southern multimammate mouse), 671 nucleotides long. RefSeq lists it as uncharacterized. The transcript is spliced from 2 exons. Lineage: Eukaryota; Metazoa; Chordata; Mammalia; Rodentia; Muridae. The record is from RefSeq and is a predicted model, not a curated record.